UACGUAGGUGGCGAGCGUUGUCCGGAUUUACUGGGCGUAAAGGGCGUGCAGGCGGUUUGUUAAGUGCAGGGUGAAAGCUCCCGGCUCAACUGGGAGAGGUCCUUGCAUACUGGCGAACUCGAGGGAGGCAGAGGAAAGUGGAAUUCCCGGUGUAGUGGUGAUAUGCGUAGAUAUCUGGAGGAACACCGGUGGCGAAGGCGGCAUCCUGGACCGAAACUGACACUGAGGCGCGAAAGCCAGGGGAGCAAACGGG
RNAcentral lists this ribosomal RNA (253 nucleotides) under uncultured bacterium. RNAcentral's name for it is "partial 16S ribosomal RNA". It matches the Rfam family "Bacterial small subunit ribosomal RNA", at positions 524 to 776 of the family's 1533-position model. The record is from RNAcentral.